UAUUGGACAAUGGGCGCAAGCCUGAUCCAGCCAUGCCGCGUGAGUGAUGAAGGCCUUAGGGUUGUAAAGCUCUUUUAUCCGGGACGAUAAUGACGGUACCGGAGGAAUAAGCCCCGGCUAACUUCGUGCCAGCAGCCGCGGUAAUACGAAGGGGGCUAGCGUUGCUCGGAAUCACUGGGCGUAAAGGGCGCGUAGGCGGCGUUUUAAGUCGGGGGUGAAAGCCUGUGGCUCAACCACAGAAUGGCCUUUGAUACUGGGACGCUUGAGUAUGGUAGAGGUUGGUGGAACUGCGAGUGUAGAGGUGAAAUUCGUAGAUAUUCGCAAGAACACCGGUGGCGAAGGCGGCCAACUGGACCAUUACUGACGCUGAGGCGCGAAAGCGUGGGGAGCAAACAGG
This 397-nucleotide ribosomal RNA is filed under the name uncultured bacterium. RNAcentral's name for it is "bacterial SSU rRNA". It matches the Rfam family "Bacterial small subunit ribosomal RNA", at positions 362 to 776 of the family's 1533-position model. The record is from RNAcentral.